Long non-coding RNA from Aptenodytes forsteri (emperor penguin), 257 nucleotides. RefSeq lists it as uncharacterized. The record is from RefSeq and is a predicted model, not a curated record. NCBI's taxonomy places the organism in Eukaryota, Metazoa, Chordata, Aves, Sphenisciformes, Spheniscidae. The transcript is spliced from 3 exons.
CGAGAUCUACGGCCACGAGGACGUGAAGAAGGCGCUGCUGCUGCUGCUGGUGGGCGGCGUGGAUCGCAACCCCCACGGCAUGAAGAUCCGGGGAAACAUCAACAUCUGCCUCAUGGGCGACCCCGGCGUGGCCAAGUCGCAGCUCCUGUCCUACAUCGACCGCCUGGCACCCCGCAGCCAGUACACGACAGGCCGGGGCUCCUCGGGCGUGGGGCUGACGGCGGCCGUGCUGCGGGACCCGCUGACGGGGGAGCUGG